GAAUUUGAUAUAAAUAUUAAAUAUUUAUUUAAAAGUAUCAAUGUUUAAAAUUUAUAUUUUAUUGGGAGGAUAAUUAAAUUUUAUAAACUUAAAUUUUAAUAAAAUAUUAAUUGAUAGAAAAUUAAAAAUAAAGUUAUUUAGAGUUAAAAAAAUUAAUUACCUUAGGGAUAACAGCAUAAAAUUUUUAGAGAGAUCUUAUCAAUAAAAAAUAUUGU
This 215-nucleotide ribosomal RNA is filed under the name Rogeria besucheti. RNAcentral's name for it is "partial large subunit ribosomal RNA". Lineage: Eukaryota; Metazoa; Arthropoda; Insecta; Hymenoptera; Formicidae. The record is from RNAcentral.